Molecule: unclassified non-coding RNA, 334 nt
Filed under: soil metagenome
Description: partial contains 5.8S ribosomal RNA, internal transcribed spacer 2, and large subunit ribosomal RNA
Rfam family: 5.8S ribosomal RNA (bases 1-120)
Source: RNAcentral
GAUGAAGAACGCAGCGAAAUGCGAUAAGUAGUGUGAAUUGCAGAAUUCAGUGAAUCAUCGAAUCUUUGAACGCACAUUGCGCCCCUUGGUAUUCCAUGGGGCAUGCCUGUUCGAGCGUCAUUUGUACCUUCAAGCUUUGCUUGGUGUUGGGUGUUUGUCCAUUCUCUUGCAGAGGGACUCGCCUUAAAGUAAUUGGCAGCCAGUGUUUUGGUUUUGAAGCGCAGCACAAGUCGCGAUUCAACGCUAUACGCCAGCUUCCACGAGCCUUUUUCACUUUUGACCUCGGAUCAGGUAGGGAUACCCGCUGAACUUAAGCAUAUCAAUAAGCGGAGGA